GACCAGGGCUGUUAGUGUGGGUCCUCCCGCAUUCCACAGCCUCCAGAUCCUCGGUCACCUGCCCAGGGGCUGGGGAAGCUCGUGGAAGAAGAGGUCCCAUAGAGAGAUCUGCAUCCAGAUCCUUGGCUCCGCCCCAUCACCUGUGAUCUUGGGCAGUCUGCCGCCCUUCUCCGCGCCCACCUUCCCUGGCUGCUCAAUUUCUUCAUCAGCCAAAAAACACAGUUCACAGCAACAUUCUUCAUAAUAGGUGAAAAGGAGAAACAACCCAAAUGCCCAGCACCUGAUGAGUGGCUAAAUAUAUUCCUCAGCCAUGAAAAGAAAUGAGAGUACCGCUAUCUGCUACCUGGAUGAACUUGAAAAACUUUCUGCUAAGUGAAAGAAGCCAGUCGCAAAAAUGCUACAUAUUAUACAAUCUCAUUUCUAGGAAAUGUCCAGAGUGGGCAAAUCCACAAAGACAGAAAGUAGAUGAAUGGCUGCCGGGGGCUAAGGAGAGGGAAGAAUGAGGAACCAUGGCAAAAGGAUAUAAUGUUUCUUUUUUUGGGUAAUGAGAAUGUUCUGGUUUUAGCCAGUGGUGAUGGUCGUGCAAACCUGUGAACAUCAGAAAGACCACUGACUUGUACACUCUAGACGGUGAAAUCUGUGCUAUGUGGAUUUUAUCUCAAUAAAAAAAGUACACAGUAACCCCUUCCUCAUAGGGCUGUUGGGAGCAUUAAGUGGGACAAGGUGUGGAAAAGGAACACAGUGCCUGGCCUGGCACAGAACUGGCCCUCGGAAAUGUCACUCCUCCCUGGAACCUUACAGAUCAUCUUGACCACUAUCACCCAACCCACUUCUGUCCCAGUGACAGGAGAGGCUAAGCACUCCUCCCUACAGCUCAGUUCCCCUUGAUCAUGCAGCAAGCCAGAGCCCAUCCCCAGGAGCCCCAGAAGAGCCUGUAGCUCCAACACGGCCCCUGCCACAAAGGGAGAACUAGGGGGGAAUUGGGGGAGGGGAAUGUCAUCCCAGGGUCAAGGCGAAAAUACACAAAGGCCAAUGUUUAUUAUUUUAACUACGAUUUCAACAAGGCCCAGUAAUAGUUAUUCAUAGAGAAAUGGUUGGUUUUCCCAGUUGUGUUGACCAGAAGGUCGACCUGCUACCUCCCCGUCCCAUACAGGCUCAAUGACCCAAGGUUCCUUCUUAUCCUCAGGCCUGACACUUUGCUUACAGGCACAACGGCACAUCUGAGAAUGUACCGAGGACAAAGAUGAGUACGAUGGCACAUACUUAGUACAGAGCAGGUCUGGGCUGAUAGCCACAUGAGGGCAUGCAGAAAGCCAAAUGGCUUGGGAAUCAGGCAACCCUCAAGUUCUAGACCUGGGUCUGUCACAGUCUAGCUGUGUGGCCUCGGGCCAAUCACUUCUUCUGGACUUUAAUUUACUCAAACGUAGCUAGCAGGUGAUGUCUGAGAUUCUAAGAUUUUAGGAUUAUUCAGUGAAGAGUCAUACGUGGAUAAACCUAUUCCCGAACAUAUAGAACACCAUUUGGGCACACAUACAGACCGUAGACACAACCUUCCACACCUGAACAUAUGUACCCCAGUUUCUGCCAUACUUGUCAUAACCUGGACAUAUAGAUGUCCACACUUAGAACCCCUGUCUGUCUCCAGGCUCUCUUCCCAUCACUCCUAGAGUAAAAUAAGACUGAGGGGCAAAGACAAGUCCCAACUGGCUGAGUAAGGAGGCCAGGGCAGAAGCCAGGGCUCUGACACCAAUGGGGCCUGAACAGGGCCUCUGCCUUUUUUUUUUUUUUUUUUUUAAAUGUUUAUUCAUUUUUUGAGAGCAAGAGAGACAGACAGAGCAUGAGUGGGGGAGGGGCAGAGAGAGAGGGAGACGCCCCAGGUCUCUGCCUUUCUUAAUUCAUCAGAAAGGCUCUGCUGGCACCUCCAAUCGCACAACCAGCCUCAGCAUCACUAGUGAGUGCAGGGACAGGCCGCCCUUGUCCUCACCUGGUUUCCAUCCAGACUGGAGAAACCAGACUGGCCUUCACAUCACUUUGGGCUAUUUGCUGUGGUGGAAAGAGCAUUUGACCUUGGGGCCAAAGAUGUAGUUUUCAGUCUUGCUGCUCUGCCUAUCAGCUGUGUGACAAACCCCUUAACCUCUCUGGGCCUUAGUUUCCAGAUCUGUAAAAUGAAGCCCAUAUGACCAAGCCUGUGAGGAGUAAACAAGAUGAUGGGUGUCGGCGCAUCAAUCAAGGAAUGGGAGCUCAUUCUUUACAGGCUCUUUAUAAACUGUACAAAUGUUUGCGUGGUUUUCUUUUUUUUUUUUUUUUAAUGAAAGAUGUUACUUUAAAAAAAAAAAAAACUACACAAAUGUUAAUUACAGUUCUUAACAGCCAGUCCCUUCUACCUCUAAAGCCCUAGAUUCUAUGAUUCAAACAUAGGGUAGGGGGAAGACAAGCCCGGGCUCUCAGCCCAGUGGCUUCCAAUUGCCGGGUUCCAGCCGCUGAGCAGUCAGUUUGAGUUUCAAGGGAGAAAAGCCCCACAUGACACGAAUCCCUGAGCCCUGCGGCAGCCUCCCCGCCCCCCCAAGCACGUCCGGGCCUGGAAAAUCCCCUGCCGCGCUGAACAAACAAUGUGAACAGUUGGGGCCUGAGCAGCUGCUGGGUAUGUCAGCAGCCUGGGCUCUGGCGGGCAGGACGGCAGCCAGAGAGGCCGGUGGCUGGCUGGGGAGCCCAGAGGAGGCUCCGAUUCCCUUCCUGAAUAUUCAUGGAUCAGCAGAUGUCUGGCUUCGCCACCUCUGAGGAGCCAAGCACCCAGCAAGGUAGAACAGGGAAACCAACAGGGAUGUAGAUGAGGAGGGAACCAGCCCACCCUGGCCCAGAAGCCUGGCCACACCAACUGCCACUACGCCGGUUGCCUCCAUCCUCUCUUCUGGAUUACUACAACAGCCUCCCAAGAAGCUGGAGCUUCCUGCUUCCAGUCCCGCCCCACCGACCGAUUCUCCACACUGGCUGCAGGAGCUGAUGCAAAGCUGAUUUUAAAACUUGCCAAGGGCUCAGGCAGGCUCUCAGGCCAGAAACCUUGGUGGGACUUAUAAAGUCCUUCAGGAGCUGGGACCAGCCCCCAUCUUCA
Molecule: long non-coding RNA, 3109 nt
Organism: Leopardus geoffroyi (Geoffroy's cat)
Lineage: Eukaryota; Metazoa; Chordata; Mammalia; Carnivora; Felidae
Exons: 2
Source: RefSeq, a predicted model, not a curated record